CAAAACUGACAUAAUCAGCUUAAUAAAAGUGCAUACAAAUCCAAAGAUUUCAUAAUUCAGACAUAUUACAUAAAAUUAGUCGAUAUCUGACGACAUGCUUAGGCUGAUCAUGAAGUAGUUGUAAUGAUAGUUUUGGAGGUAAUUUUCAAUGGAAGGUGGUGCAAUCCGUAGGUGCUUUUCGUGCGUCUUGAAGAUUCCCUGGUCCUUGCAUGGUUGUUGACGGUGCCCUACAUGUUAAUAGAACAACAUUAUUGGUAAUGUUAUUGUUGUAGCAAAGGGUGACAAAACUUUAUAUAAUUUUGUUUGGAUAUGAGAACUGAUAGUACCUAUGUGUUUUUAUUACUAUUAUCCUCUUGUCCUUCA
RNAcentral lists this long non-coding RNA (363 nucleotides) under Triticum aestivum (bread wheat). Its description in RNAcentral is "long non-coding RNA (TAES_LNC007425)". Lineage: Eukaryota; Viridiplantae; Streptophyta; Magnoliopsida; Poales; Poaceae. The record is from RNAcentral.